Molecule: RNA transcript, 2511 nt
Organism: Sesamum indicum (sesame)
Lineage: Eukaryota; Viridiplantae; Streptophyta; Magnoliopsida; Lamiales; Pedaliaceae
Gene name: clathrin adaptor complexes medium subunit family protein
Source: RefSeq, a predicted model, not a curated record
UAUCAAUUUUCUUUUUUAGAAUUAGAAAAUGCGAUUGGGAAUCAAUCCAUUUCUCUCUCUACAAAUCUCACGCACCGCUCCACAAGACCAAAACCGAAAAAUCUGAAGAAAAAUACGAGUUCAGAAGUAUGAGCUCGAAUGAGAAAGUGAAAAUGCCGACUGGUUGCUACAUCAGAGCUCUCUGGAUUCUGAAUAAUCAGGACUUUGUUGUUUUCUCCAGGAAGUUCCCGGUGGUGGAGAAGCGGUGGCGCACGGCUUGUGAGAAAGAAAGUGACCAUGAUUUUAAGUAUAAUUUGCUACCUUAUGAUUCCGAGUUGGCUGCCGCUUUCAUUGACCGCAAAAAAAGGGAGGGGUCUGCUCGUGGAUUCGGCUUGCGUUUAAGCCAGUCUGCUAAAGGAUUCGAUUCAUGGGUUGAUGAUCCAAUUACUCGUCAUGUAAUUAGUUUGUACAUCAAUAAAGAAGAGAAAGGAGAGAAUUAUAUCUUGUGGCCUUUACUGUUACACAUAAAGGGUCCGUAUUCUAUCCUUGUUUUGCCUUUGGUUGAACCUCAUCAUUUGAAAUCCUAUUCAAGGAUGUCUGAUAGAUCAGACUGUGGGAGUGCUAUAGGAGCAGAUGAGAAUUUGUCUUCCCUCCUCCUUGAUCUUCCAUCCAUCACAGGGGGAUUUAAUGUGGCACAUACAAUUGGAGACAUUAUAGUUGGAGAAGCAAUGGAACCUGAAGUAGUUGUGGCUGCAGCUCCCUCAGUCGGAGGGUUGCUGGAUUCUCUCACAGGUAGUAUUGGGAUUACAGGUAUCUCUGCAAGAGCGAAACCUGUAGCUGCUCCUCUGGCAGCAUCCACUGUUUCGGGGACGGCUGUGAGUGGAGCUGUAAUGUCAGAUACUCCAAAGAUGGGUUCCAGGCCCUUGGACAAGGAUGCACUUCGGUCUUUCAUCAGCAGCUCGAUGCCCUUUGGCACUCCACUGGAUAUGAACUUCUUAAAUAUUACUGCCAUCAAGACUACUGGAUUUUCUUCAGCAGAUGUGCCUCCUGCAGAGCGCAAGCAACCAGCUUGGAAACCUUAUCUUUACAGGGGGAAGCAACGGAUUCUAUUCACAAUCUAUGACACAGUCCAUGCUGCAAUGUAUGAUAGGGAUGAGAUCCCUGAUAGCAUAACAAUUUCUGGUCAGGUUAACUGUAGAGCAGAAUUAGAAGGAUUGCCUGAUGUUUCGUUCCCAUUGACUGGGUUGGACACUGCCCGCAUUGAGUCAUUAUCCUUUCACCCCUGUGCUCAAGUUCCAGAGCAUGGCGGUGAUAAGCAGGCUGUUACCUUUUCACCACCAUCAGGGAAUUUUAUAUUAAUGCGUUAUCAGGCACGUUGUGCUGUUGGACCUCCAAUAAAGGGGUUUUACCAGCUUUCAAUGGUCUCCGAAAAUGAAGGUGCAUUUUUGUUUAAGUUGAGCAUCAUGGAAGGUUAUAAAGCUCCUGUAACAGUAGAGUUCUGUACGGUAACCAUGCCUUUUCCAAGGAGAAGGGUGGUUUCUUUUGAUGGGACACCUUCCAUUGGAACAGUUUCAUAUACUGACCACUCAGUAGAGUGGAAGAUAAUAACAAACACUCGAAGUGUUUCGGGGAAGAGCAUUGAGGCAACUUUUCCUGGGACAGUCAGAUUUGCUCCAUGGCAAGCUCAAAAAAUGCCUUCAUCUGGUUUGGCACUUGGAAGUAUGACCGAUGAAGACAGUGAUCUUGAAACGGAAUCUGGUGGCAGCAUGGUUAAUGUUGAGGAUUACAUUAUGGAGAAAAUGAGUAAGGAUCUUCAAGCAGUUGAUCUAGAGGAGCCCUUUUGCUGGCAAGCGUACAAUUAUGCAAAAGUUUCUUUCAAGAUGGUAGGACCUUCAAUGUCAGGAAUGUCUAUUGAUCCUAAAUCUGUAAGCAUAUUCCCAGCAGUUAAGGCACCCGUGGAAAUUUCAACUCAGGUUACUUCUGGCGAUUAUAUUUUGUGGAAUACAUUGGGAAAAUGUCCUGUUGCAGCCACACCAGAGGUAUAGAAGAUCAACGGGAAAUGCUUAUAACAAACUUUAAUCCAAUGUUGCAUCAGGUGGUCUGUGUCUAUGGUGUCAAAUGGGCGGGUUGGAUUUGGAACAAGUGCAAAAUGAGUUGGGUUGCAAAUGGGCAGGCUGUAUUAUUCACAUUCGGUGAUUUAUUCGAUGGAGAUGACCUAGAAAGUAAUGGCACGAAGGGGUGCUUGGGACUGCAGGGCGAUGGAAAGAGAAGCACCCAGUGCAUGCAACUUACCAGCAGUCCUUGCUUCGCUCUUGUACCAUAUAUGGCAAGAAAGGAACAUGAGAUGAUUUCCUCAAAUUAGUAGUAGCUUCACUUGUUGAGCAGAUUGGGCAGGAAUUACUUGUAUUAAGAUCCUACAUCCCUUGUUGUAAUUUAUGUGUUUAGGAUUCGGCGAAUAACUUGGUAGGAUUGGUUUGGAGCCUCAAGAUGUACAUUGUACAGGGUUUUAAUAAAAUUUAAUUGAAUUUUCAA